CUUUCCUAUUUCUUAUAUAAACAAGGAUAAGAAAGAAAUAUAUAGAGGAUAAUAAAUCUUUAUAUAUAAGGGAGACUGGGGACACUUGAUCCCCAGGGAGACUUGAUCCCUUGUCAAUAAAUCGAUAAGCACACGGUAUUUUUAUUUUAAAUACUGAAAAUACUGUUGCCUUCACUCAUUGUGUAUGGCUGAACGUAAAUUUGACGGUUCACAAACGACAACUUCAGAACAGUGGUGCCAUUUUGUUUUCACCAGGUGAAAAUAUUUUUCUAUGGAAGGAAAAUGCCGAGAACGUACAAACCUAAAGAGGGCGCUAAGAAACGCAUACCCAUAGACAAAACAAAACUUGAAUUAGCGGUUAAAGAGAUUUUGAAAGGAAACACUAUCAAAGGAACUGCAAAACUUUAUGAUGUGCCUUUGAUGACACUAAGUUACCAAAUAUAGGCCUAAAAUAAUACAAACAUUGUAAGUGUUGAUUUUUGUAUGUUUAUAUGGUUAAAUAAACAAUUUUUAUAUUGUAAAAUGCAUUUAUAUUAUUAUUUUAUAAUGACGUAGGUACACUUGUUCCACUGUAAUCAAGUCUACCCUACACAAGGAUCAAGUCUCCCAGCAUAGGGGACAUUUGAUCCUUUUGUAGUGUCGUAGAAAAACUAAAAAAAAAAUACUAAUUAUUAAUUAAUUCCAUAAUCUGAUAAUGCACAAAGUUAGGUGAAUAGUUAUUCUAGGUAGUCACCAAAACUUUUCUGAAAACCAUUAUCACAGACA
Spodoptera frugiperda (fall armyworm) is the source of this 765-nucleotide long non-coding RNA. RefSeq lists it as uncharacterized. The record is from RefSeq and is a predicted model, not a curated record. The transcript has 2 exons. NCBI's taxonomy places the organism in Eukaryota, Metazoa, Arthropoda, Insecta, Lepidoptera, Noctuidae.